AUUUAGAAGCUCUUCUAUUUUUUAUUUAAAAUAUGUAAUUUAAAUUAUGUAAUAGGACAACGUUAUUUAGAAGCUCUUACAUAGACCUAUAUAUUGGGAUGAGAGUUUACAAAUAUAAGAAAUGAAGAAUAAUGUAUGGUUUCAAGAUUUAGAGUUCAAGGAAAUAAUGUUGCUUUUAAUUUCUCUCAUAAGCUCUUGUCACUAAUACGUUUACAAAAGGAUGUGGGAGGGGUCUAGGACUAAUCCUUGAAGAAAGGGUAUCCCACAAGUAGGGUUCUUCCAGAUUUUCAAAUGGACCGUAAGCAAUGGGCUUAUAUCCGCUGACCAAAGAGAUAAAGCUGAGCAAUUCUGCGUUUUAGGGAGAAUUGUAACAACCCUCUCCACAAUUGUGGGCUUUUAUUGUUUUAGCUUUAGGAUUAAGUCCAUGUGAUUGCCUGAUUGGUAAGCCACAAAAACGUCAAGGCCUAGUCAUUGUUGGCACAUGUAUAUGUAAAUAUGUAUGCAUCUCCCUCUCCGUUAAGAUAAAAAAAACCCUUGCCGCUUUUGCCGAGAGAAAUAAUUGUCAUGAGUCUUUGGCUCUUUGCUAUCGCCGUUAUCGUCUUGUUCGUGUCUCUUCCACCACUGAUAUUGUUGUAUUUUCUCAGCGGCCACGUUGCCUUGGUCGGAGAAGAAGAGAAAUAUGGGAAGAAAUUGGUUGUGACGGAGAAAUUGGAAGCGAAGAUGGAGGAGACAUCACGGAUCUUAACCGUUCAACCCCGGAACCAAUGGCAAUGGAGACGAGAUCAUUCCACAAUGACGCCAAAUCACUGAUGAGUCUAUUUCGUAGCCAAGUAGAGAUGGUGGUAUUGAGAUCAGUUGAAGGGAAGAAAAAGAAACAAGAAGAAGGGAAAAGAGGAAGCAGGAAGAACAGUUUCAAGAGGGUGUUUUGAAGGGAGAAUUCUCGUCAUACCAGAGAGAAUCAGAUGACAAGUAAGACAUCUCUGGAAAUAUCUCGUUGCCAUAAAUCUACAGCAACUGACGGAGUUUGAAUCGGGGUUAUAUUCCAUAAGUUAUUUGCAUUGCUUUCCGUGCAAGAAACCACUUAAUCUGUUAAAAACUGGUAAGCAUAGAACCCUAGAAAACAGAUCUGACGCAUCAUAUUUAGGAGAACGUGGGUGUUUCAUCUAAUGUCCGAUCUGACUGGAAUUGGUGUAGAUCUUCAUGAUACUACUGGCUGCAUAUUUAACGGUGGGAUUAAGUUUCUAACGGUUAGAAUUUGAUUUAUAUAUAUGUUUCCAAGAUAUAUUUAUAUAGAAUAAAUUUUGACGAAGUUUAUAUUGUUGCUCGGGUAAAGGAGUUUGGCUUGAGCCCAAAAUUUGCAGGAGUCUUUAAGACUCUCAUAAUUAUGUCUAGGUUGAUGGAGAUCCAAGGUGGAGUUUAAUUCUAUGCGGUUGGAGGCAAGCUAGUAAUUUAUCUAAAGGAGAAAGGAGAAGAGAGUUGUUCUUCAUCUUCAAUUAGGCUAAGGUAUAUGAGAAGAGAAAACUAAAGAGUAUGUGAAGGAUACUUGAGGAAGUUGGACUGUUAUGGACCGACGGGUUCAUCUACUUGUCAUUAAGUGCUGUCGAGCAAUGAGGAGAAGGCUCGAGCUACGGGCCGUGGUCUUCCAUAAGUAGGCUUGAGUAGCCAUGAGUUAAAAGAAACUCGAGUAUCCAUAAGUUAAAAUACAUAAAACUAGAAAUGAAUGUAAAAUAUCUUGUCGUGAGCAAGACGAAUGCAUGUUUGUUUGAUUGAUAGACAUUCUGAAUCUAUACUAACUAAUGGUUGUUGAUUAUAUUUGGAACGUUUUUACUGUAUGUCCACUGGGAAGAGUUGAUAUGUUCACUGAGUAAACUUGUUUUACUCACCCCUUUUUUUUCCUUUUUUUCCUCCAGGUUAGUAAGUUUCAAAAGUUACGGGUUGAAGUUUGUUCGUUGGUGACUUUUAAAGAAAUAAACGUUUUGGUAAGACUGGAUGAAUAACAUACAGUCCUAUCCUUUAUGGCGUGACGGGUGUUACAUUCAAUCCAUGGCCUAGAAUAACAUGACGACUUUUCCAUCAUACUAGAACCACGAGCCCACUAGCCCACCAAAAUAGAACCACUAGCCCAUCACUUUAACUUCUUGAUUUUAUAAUUAUAGAUAUUCUUAGUCUAAUGGUCACAUAUCACUUCAAAGUCCUUUUUAGGGGAACAAAAAGAUCUUGUGCCAAUUAACCUUUGUGACUACCAGUCAACUUAGUCUUCAGAAACCUUUUAAUCACUCUUUCUGAUAUAUUGUUCACAUUUUUGUUAUCUUGAUACAAUGUAAAAGAUAGUCAUUUUAUAUAUGAAAGUUGUAGUGGAAGAGAGAGAGAUGGAGCCCACAUUUGAAGCCCACUGUAAUGGGCCAAAACAUUUGAAUUCAUAUAAUUAUCAAUAUUCAUGUAAAUUCUUACCAAUGUAGAGCCCACAACAAAAACGAUUUUACUCGAUUUUUUUUAGUGAUAAAAUACAACGUUAUAGUAUCUUGAAACUCGUGUUUAAACGACACUACUUCAAUCAAUCUAAUUCUUUUGUUUUUUAGCCAAACUUACGGAUUGACUAUCGGCUUUUGGAUCAAAUACUAGUUGAAACAAAUAUUAGUUAAAUGGUGCAAGAUUAACUUAUAAUUUUUGUAUGAAUUUGUAUUGCCCAUUCAUUCAUAUGCACAUAUUACUAUGGUUGUCUAUAAUUCACAUAUAAAUUGACCGUUUAUUUGAAAAUACUAUGUAAUUUUCCACCGACUUAAGUUCUACACCAAUGACACUUGGAACCAUACACGAACCACUUUAAAUUAGGUAGUGCUUGGAACAAUACACGAACCACUUUAAAUAAGGUAGUGUGGCACAAAGAGGUCCGGUUUGCUCAAGCCACACCGAAAUACUCCGUCUAUAUUUGGUUAGCAGUUCAAUAUAGGCUUUCAACAGGUGGAAUAUGUUUUUUCGUGUGUGUCAAAAGUGCAUAGAAACUCGAGAUAACUUAUUCUUCUCAUGCAGGUUUAUCUCGAAAAUCUAGGCUGCUCUCACUGACGGUCUAUUCAAAGCAAGAUACUCAACUGAUUGGUCUACUCGUAUAACUUAUGUUUCAGAGCAUCAACAGAAUCAAGUAGAAGGAUACUUGGCUCGAUAUGUCCUCCAAGCUACGGUCUAUGCGAUCAGGAGGAAGCAAAAUGGACGAAGACAUGAUGAAAAAUAUAACUAAGGAACUCAAAUCACCAAGUGGAUUGACAAGCAAGUUCGAAAUCAUCUUACAAUAAUUAAAAGUAUGGGCGAUAGGCGAUAGGCGAUAUGAUGAGGGUUUCCAAAUUUGACUCAAAACAUAGAUUUUUUAUAUGAUAGUCAAAAUAUAACUUUGUCUUAUUUAUCUCAACAAACCGUUGUACUAAUUGUAAAAACAUUAUUUUUUUCUUUUAAUAUAAUUAAACAUUGCAUUUAA
Molecule: long non-coding RNA, 3469 nt
Organism: Arabidopsis lyrata subsp. lyrata
Lineage: Eukaryota; Viridiplantae; Streptophyta; Magnoliopsida; Brassicales; Brassicaceae
Exons: 2
Source: RefSeq, a predicted model, not a curated record